UGGGCGGCAGGCCUAACACAUGCAAGUCGGACGGUAGCACAGAGGAGCUUGCUCUUCGUCGGUGACGAGUGGCGGACGGGUGAGUAAUGUCUGGGAAACUGCCUGAUGGAGGGGGAUAACUACUGGAAACGGUAGCUAAUACCGCAUAACGUCGCAAGACCAAAGAGGGGGACCUUCGGGCCUCUUGCCAUCAGAUGUGCCCAGAUGGGAUUAGCUAGUAGGUGGGGUAACGGCUCACCUAGGCGACGAUCCCUAGCUGGUCUGAGAGGAUGACCAGCCACACUGGAACUGAGACACGGUCCAGACUCCUACGGGAGGCAGCAGUGGGGAAUAUUGCACAAUGGGCGCAAGCCUGAUGCAGCCAUGCCGCGUGUAUGAAGAAGGCCUUCGGGUUGUAAAGUACUUUCAGCGGGGAGGAAGGUGUUGUGGUUAAUAACCGCAGCAAUUGACGUUACCCGCAGAAGAAGCACCGGCUAACUCCGUGCCAGCAGCCGCGGUAAUACGGAGGGUGCAAGCGUUAAUCGGAAUUACUGGGCGUAAAGCGCACGCAGGCGGUCUGUCAAGUCGGAUGUGAAUCCCCGGCUCACCUGGAACUGCAU
This 599-nucleotide ribosomal RNA is filed under the name Pantoea agglomerans. Its description in RNAcentral is "bacterial SSU rRNA". It matches the Rfam family "Bacterial small subunit ribosomal RNA", at positions 37 to 626 of the family's 1533-position model. The record is from RNAcentral. Lineage: Bacteria; Pseudomonadati; Pseudomonadota; Gammaproteobacteria; Enterobacterales; Erwiniaceae.